UAAAAAUUUUAUUUUAGUUUAUUUAUUAAGUAUUAUUUUUUAUUAUAUGUUAAUUUUUAUUAAAUAAUAGUUAGCAGUAAUUAAAUUUAAAUAUUCAAGAAAUUGAGAUUUAGAAAUAAUAUAAAAUAUAAACAAAAUUUGUGCCAGCAGUUGCGGUUAUACAAAUUAUAUAAUUUAAUUUGUUUAAUUUUAAUUAAUUGUAAUAAAAAUUUAAAAUUAGAAUUUAUUUAGUGAAAUUUUAAAUUUUUAAUUAAAUUUUUAUAUUAGAGAUAUUAAAAAAUUUUAAAUAUAGACUAGGAUUAGAUACCCUAUUAUUUAAAAAGUAAAAAAAUAAAAAUUAAAUUAGUAUUAGUUAUGUUCUUGAAAAUUAAAAAAUUUGGCGGUAUUUUAGUCUUUUCAGAGGAACCUGUUUUAUAAAUGAUACUCCACGAUUAAAUUUACUUUUUUUAUUAGUUUACAUAUCGUCGUUAUUAAAUAUUUUUAAAGAAUUAAAAUAUUUAAGAUUUUUAUUAAAAAAAAUUUCAGAUCAAGGUGUAGUUUAUAAAAAAGAAAAAAUGGGUUACAAUAAAUUUAUUUAGGGAUUUAUAUUUUUAUUAGUAUUUUGAAUUUGGAUUUGAAAGUAAUUUUAAUUAAUUUAUUAAAAUGAUUUAAGCUCUAAAAUAUGUACAUAUUGCCCGUCGCUUUCAUUUAAAAUGAAAUAAGUCGUAACAAAGUAGAUUUACUGGAAAGUGAAUCUAGAUUCAA
Molecule: non-coding RNA, 744 nt
Filed under: Psylliodes chrysocephalus
Lineage: Eukaryota; Metazoa; Arthropoda; Insecta; Coleoptera; Chrysomelidae
Source: RNAcentral